GUUGUCACCAAUCGCGGGAAAAGAGGAAUUCUACAGGAAAUAUGGCGCGAAUGCAACGUAAACAAGCCAGCUUUUCUAUAAACGUAUUGUUCCUGAUUGUAUCAUUUGUUUUUAUAGAAUUCGACUUAUUCGAGUUUAUUGGAGCAAAAAAUGGAACUAUUAAUGAUGGCGAUGUUGUCAUUGUUGAUCAUGAUUUAGAAAAUGAGGAAACUCAAAUUUAAUACUGAUACGCCAGGAAAAUAUCUCGUGUGGAGAGUUCAUCAUUCACUCCAUUCAAUCGAGCUUUGUUUCAAAGUCCUGGCACAUCAGCAAAGGUAUAAUAAAAAAAAAUAUGGUAGACGAAAUUGUACUUAUAAAUGUACUGUUAUUCUUUGCUAUUUUAUUCUUAUAAAUUGUCUUUGACUCUUUGUAUAUUCAGUGUAAAGCUGGAGUAAAUACGAGCAACAAAAUUGCUGCAACUUGCAACAAAAUCUGAUUUCAACGCAUGUACGAGGCAACAUGUGUCAACAUUUCUAUGACUUGUAUUAAGUUAUGUGUCAACAUCUCCACUUAACAUCUGUUGAAAUCAGAUUUUGUUGCAAAUUGCAGCUAUUUUGUUGUCUGUAUUUCUCCACCUUAAUACCUCUGUGUAACAUUAUUCUGCAGUGUAACAUUAUUCAUGUAUGUUUAUUCAUAUGUCAUCUGCGCCCCAAUUUCCAUUUUAGUAAAUGACAUACUUUUUUGUAGUUUCCUAGCAGAAAGAUCAGGCUGACUCUGUCAGAGAAGUCACCAGUGAAAAAAACAUAAAUGGACCUUUGAGGAAAAUAAAGCUUUGAUCAAGUUGAUAUCUAUUGCCAAAAAAGAUCCAUGGAUCUGGAGAAAUUUUGUCCAUAACAAAAUAAAAUAACAACAAUUUACCGCAUUAGCCUAGUAAUCUAUGUCACUGUUAUAAUGGGUCGUUCCAGAAAAGAUCCAUACUCCCCCCACAGAGGAAAUUUCUGCCGUCCGGAGGGGGAGGAGAGAAAAAAUUGUUUCUGAUAAUAGUAAAUGUAUUAGGACAUCCGAAGGGGGUAGGGGGGUUAACUUCCUAUUUCCUCCGUGGGGGCAGUAUGGAUGUUUUCUGGAAUGACCCAAUUGUAGGGAUCCAUAAUAAAAUAAAUAUGUAGGAAUCCAUAAUAAAAUAACAACAAUUUACAAUAUACUUCUUGUGUGUGUUGGUUUUAUUUACUCAGGUGAAUAUGUUUGUGAUGUUACUCUGAGUAUGCAUCCACACCGAGCUGAGCUCAGUUGGUAGAGCAUAAUUGGACUAAUAUCCCAAAGAUGGCAACUUCGAUUCCCACCAUGGUCAGGCAAACUUUUCAGCUUGCCCGGUGUGGAUGCACACUCAGAAUAACAUCACAAACAUCAAUUUACAAUAUUCUAGUAAUCUAUGUCACUGUUAUAAUUGUUUCUUGGAUCAUCUCUGUCCCAUGGUCCACUUUUCGCAAUAAGCAAUGCUGCACUGUAGAGUAAUAGUACCCACCAAGCACACUGAAUUUAUUGGUUGUAGAUCACAGUUAUAUCCAGUUUGCCCUUGUAAAUUUAUUAGUGACAGCACACUGUCCAAAUCUUCAUUAACAGUAUCUGGACCUUGAGGUUGAGAAGGUGGCAAUGGCAGAAUAUCUAAAUCCCACAAAAUAACAUUCCCAAAGAUAAAAGAUUGUCCUGUUCCAUCUCGUCUUAGAUCACUGAGGUCAGAGAACUGCAAUAUAUAAAAACAAUCUU
This 1743-nucleotide long non-coding RNA is filed under the name Paramuricea clavata. Lineage: Eukaryota; Metazoa; Cnidaria; Anthozoa; Malacalcyonacea; Plexauridae. The record is from RNAcentral.